GCCCACUGCCCUCCAUGGACAGCACAGACGCUGCGACAACAGCGGCGUGGGCGUUUGCCGCCGCACCGGCGGAAGGCGUCCCAGCUCUGGAGUUGCUGGUGAAUGAGUACGCAUGGCUGAGCGCGCUGCCUUUCGAUGAUCUUCUGACGCACAGUGGCUCUCAUCAGGGGCGGCUGACGGGCGCACGGGAGCUGAUGAGCUCCCUCCUGUCGGUGUCGAUGCCGUGCCCUUCGCCUGCGCAGGUGUCGCUGUACGUGGUCCUGGCGUCACGCGUGUACGUGGCACUGUUCUUGGAUACGGUGGAGCGCAAGCGCCGACUUCUACGCUCGGAGAAGUUGGAUACGUUUGCUUGCGUAGACGAGGGCUGUUUUCUUGCACGCGUGCACGCGACAAUGCAAGCAUGGACGCGUGAUCUCGUCCCUAUUCUCGUGCGCUCGGUUCUGCCGUGCCUGCACCUCCGCGACGCGGAGCCUACCACAGUCAGAGCUUCGAACCCGCUUGAUCGUUCACCGAGUGCGUCGGGCCUGGCAUCAGACGACGACACUGAGAGCAAGCCCUCAGAGCAGCGGAGGGAUCUGCUCGAGGCACUUCAUGUGUACCGUGUGCGCGAGGAGCUGGUGCGUCUUGUCGUCGCGCUCCGUCGCACUACAGGCGACGAAGAUGAUUCAGCCGCCGCGCUGUUGCUGGCAGCGUAUGCUACACUCUGCAGCACAGAAGUCUGUCCCUCCGUGGCUUUGCCCCGACCACCUCUUCGAGGGUCGACGACCGCGACCCUGCAACAGUGGCGCGCACGCGUUUUGCAAGAGAUGAGUCCGACUACUCCAAGAAACGUGGCAGCUGGGCGUGGAGCCGCAUCUGAGACGGAGGUGGACGGCGACCUCGGCACCAGUUUCACCCGAUGUCUCGCGCGCCUCCGCGGGGUUGCGGGCGAGGUGCACUGCUACCCCUCCGGCGACUCUCUUUCGUUUGCACUAGCAGCUUUGCAGGCUUCCGGGCUCUCCGGUGGCCAUGGCGGCAAAUUGCACCUCGCUGACGUCGAGAGGGGCACUGAACCGCCGGACAGCACCGCAGCCAGCCUCGCCGCGGAGCACGAUCGAGAAGUAGAGGCGUGCACGUUGGUGGCACUGGAUGCGGUGGAUGCCCAUUCAGGGGAGGCGUCGGCGGGGUCUCCAGAGGAGUACUUCUCUUUGCCGCUGUGUCGGCAGGGAGCGCUGCUGCUUCUCGCUGACGUGCUUCGGCACCAGCUCACGGCGGCGGAGCAUCCAUCAUUCGCCUACUCGGUGUCCGCUUCGUCGCUGCUUCUCGGUGUCGCCGAUGCGUACAUUGUAGCUCUGCGUUGCGCGCGCAGUGCAGCCGUGCUCCUGCGGCAUUUGCUUUUUUUGCACGAUCUUCUGUCCGCUGUGCCCAAGUACACGCUCUGUUCUGCCGAAGAGGCGCAGCAUCGCGAGCUACGGGACUGUGGGCAACGGGUGCUCGACUCGUGCCACACGAGGCGCUACGAGUCGUUCUUUGAUAUAGCAAGGGAGCUGCUGACGAUCUCUGCUCUGUGCCCCGUCGAUGAACACCGACGAAUGGCGCGCACGGUGGCACUGGAGCUUCUGGAGCGACUCGAGGAGCGGACGCGGGUCCGCAUGCACGGCUCACUUAUGGCGCUUUGCCCCUACCCGUCCAUCGCCCGCUUCUUUCUUGAAGAGCUGCUGCACGAGUGGCGCGCGGCGAAAAGCGAGAGCGAUCAUCUCGCCGAGCGGCAGGCAUCACCGGUGCACUCGUUGAUGCCUUUGGCGAUUCGGGAAUGCGUGCAAGCUUUCCUCACGCAGGUGUCGAUGGGCACGAGCGGCUUCGUGGACCCGCUCGUUGUCGCGUUGAACUUUGUGCGCGUGGAGGUGUGUCAGCAGGCAUGGAUUCGUUCAUUGUGCACGCCGGCUGCGAUGUCAGCGGCUGGCGAUCGCGAUGCCUCUGUGCGCUGCGCAUGGUGCCAGCUGCUGCGUGCCCUACGCGAGCAACUUCUUCCUCGGUGCCACACACUCAUGGAGAACGCUGCGACCGUAUCCGAAGAGCAUCCGACGAAAUCCUUUGCCGUGGAGGUGUCUCUCACGCCGCUCGACGUGUUCUCGCUCAGCUGCGCCGUCGAGGGUCUCGAGGAGGUGCUAGCGUAGCGGCACGUGCCCGGGUGCUGUCGCAUUCGUGUGUGUGUGUGUGGGGGGGGUGCGAGUCGCGCCCAAGGUUCACGCUGACUUCCCACAUGGAUUCGUUGGUUGAGGCGAAGAGGUGAGAGUGAUGCGGAAGCGACUGAUGUGUCCCGAAACGCAACCAUGACGCUGCCGCAUACUGCUCGCAUUCCACGAAAAGAAAUACGACGCAAAGGAGAUGUCGUAUUCUUAUGCUUUGCGCGCAACCUGCAUCCGCCUCCCUUUCCCUGUCGCGGUUCGGUGUGGACGCCUUUUCUGGGCAGAGGUAUGAUGAUG
RNAcentral lists this unclassified non-coding RNA (2465 nucleotides) under Leishmania donovani. RNAcentral's name for it is "gene:LdHU3.25.0210(CDS-product:hypothetical_prote in_conserved)". Lineage: Eukaryota; Euglenozoa; Kinetoplastea; Trypanosomatida; Trypanosomatidae. The record is from RNAcentral.